GGUACAGCAGUACCUUUCUUAGCUUCCGUGUCUGUACUCCUGUCUGCUUAUCCAAACUGGGGGCGUGCCGACCGCCAUCUACUGUAGAUAAUACACUGACUAUAUGGAUAAGUAUCUCAUACAACCACACUUCAACAAAUCUGAAC
Long non-coding RNA from Sander lucioperca (pikeperch), 146 nucleotides. RefSeq lists it as uncharacterized. The record is from RefSeq and is a predicted model, not a curated record. The transcript is spliced from 3 exons. Lineage: Eukaryota; Metazoa; Chordata; Actinopteri; Perciformes; Percidae.